GGAUCUCUACGGGGGGCAGCAGUGGGGAAUAUUGGGCAAUGGGCGCAAGCCUGACCCAGCAACGCCGCGUGAAGGAAGAAGGCUUUCGGGUUGUAAACUUCUUUUCUCAGGGACGAAGAAAGUGACGGUACCUGAGGAAUAAGCCACGGCUAACUACGUGCCAGCAGCCGCGGUAAUACGUAGGUGGCAAGCGUUAUCCGGAUUUACUGGGUGUAAAGGGCGUGUAGGCGGGAAAGCAAGUCAGAUGUGAAAACCAC
RNAcentral lists this ribosomal RNA (257 nucleotides) under uncultured bacterium. RNAcentral's name for it is "partial 16S ribosomal RNA". It matches the Rfam family "Bacterial small subunit ribosomal RNA", at positions 333 to 604 of the family's 1533-position model. The record is from RNAcentral.